CAGCAGCCACGGUAAUACGUAGGGUGCAAGCGUUAAUCGGAAUUACUGGGCGUAAAGCGUGCGCAGGCGGUUAUAUAAGACAGAUGUGAAAUCCCCGGGCUCAACCUGGGAACUGCAUUUGUGACUGUAUAGCUAGAGUACGGCAGAGGGGGAUGGAAUUCCGCGUGUAGCAGUGAAAUGCGUAGAUAUGCGGAGGAACACCGAUGGCGAAGGCAAUCCCCUGGGCCUGCACUGACGCUCAUGCACGAAAGCGUGGGGAGCAAACAGGAUUAGAUACCCCUGUAGUCCCUGUCUCUUAUAA
This 301-nucleotide ribosomal RNA is filed under the name uncultured bacterium. RNAcentral's name for it is "partial 16S ribosomal RNA". It matches the Rfam family "Bacterial small subunit ribosomal RNA", at positions 509 to 809 of the family's 1533-position model. The record is from RNAcentral.